Molecule: long non-coding RNA, 1085 nt
Filed under: Heterocephalus glaber (naked mole-rat)
Lineage: Eukaryota; Metazoa; Chordata; Mammalia; Rodentia; Bathyergidae
Description: lncRNA (ENSHGLG00100045541.1)
Source: RNAcentral
AUAAGGUAGAUGCCAUGUGCACCAGUUCCAAGGCUGGGCCUCAAGAUGCCUGCAUGUUUCUACCUGUGCCCUUGCGCCUCUGCUGCCACCAUGAGAAGCACCUGCCAGCUGGCUUCAGGAAAAGAAUGAUACCCCCUGGAGAAGAGCCAUCCACAGCCAAGUCCAACCUGGGUCUUCAGAGAGAAAAGAAGCCUUAGGGGUACAGACUGCAAGUUAUGAAGUCUCCACCAAGGGGGGAAAAGUAGCAUCUGAACUGUCGCUGUGAAGAAAUUGUUUGCAGAUUCUGAUUCAGCACAUCAGGCCAGGUGUCUGAGCGACUGCAUUUCUCGAAAGCUCCCAGAGAUGUGCUGUGGCUGCUUUGUGUCCCAUCAUCCCCUGAGGAGCAGCUCUGAAUCAGUUCACUCACCAUCUUGGUCCCCACAAUUCCCACAGUUUUGAAAGAAAGCCAAGACCCUGGAACUGUAGCUCUCACAAUUUCUGAUACAUCUAAAUCACCUUGAAGGCUCAUUUUAGAAUGCAAAUUCCAAGGCCUUGACCUGGAAGAUUCUGAUUCACCACUGCUACUUCCCUGCAUGCCUAGACCUAAGCCUGGCUGUAGCACAGCUAUGCCAUCAGGUCCUCCCAGCUCCUGAGCCUGUCCUCCGGCCAUACCCCUUUGCUUGCAAAAAGCCUGAUUUGGUGGCCUUCUUCUCUUUGAAUGUCCUUUGCUGGUUCUCAUGAUUGUCUAGUUUUUUAUCUCUGCUCAGAUGUCUCUUCCUCAGAGGGGUUUUCCCUGACCACAGUCUAAGGUAAUGCUUUCUGCCACAGUCACUGUCCCUGUGCUUUCUUGCCUUCCUUCCCAGUUCCUGUUACUCUCUGGAAUAAUCUUGUCCCUGCAUCUGCUUAUUGGUUUGCUGUCUGUCUUCCAUGGCAACAGGAACUUUACCUGCCUUGUUUUCCACACUGAAUUCUCAGUACCUAGCACAGUGCUGGAGAACUGAAUGAAUGAAUGAAUGCACCCUAGUGGAGAAAGAAGGUGUAAAGUAAACAGUGACAUGAAUUCUGGCCUUGGAAAUUUAAGACUUCAGAGUGAAGCAGAAGUGAGC